ACCAUCUUUUCCCAUCGCGUCGCCGCCACCCACUCACCAUCUCCAUCGGAAUCCUCCUAGAUCCCCUUCUCACCCAACCAGCUAGCUCCUUCGAGCAUCCCUCAAUCCCCUCCAGAACCGCAAACAACCACCUCCUCCCUGUUCGAUCUAGAGGAGUGGAGCUCCUCCGCGCCCAUAGGCUCUCCCGCUUGAGGGCUCCAUGCUGUCUUCGCCAAGCUCCAGGAGCUUGAGCCCCUUCUCCCGCGCCCCUGCUCCACCUCAUCGUCGGAUCUCCAUCGCCGUACCACCAAUCCAUGGGCCCGAGGAGCCCCUGCGCCGUGCUCCUCCCUUGCCGCAAUAGGAGAGCAUCCCCGAGCUCUUCCCCAACCUCCUCACGUCGCUGCCUUGUCAGCUCUACCUCGCCCGCGCGUUGCCAGGUCGUCCGUCCGCCAGAGCGUGCCCCGCCUCGACCUCGGCGGUGACCAUCGACACUGCCGCACAAUGACAGGAGCUCCAUCCCCGAACGCCUUCGCGCCUCCGACCUGAACUCCUCUUGCGCCCGCACCUGGAGCCAUGGACGCCUCAAGCUAGGUUUGACUUGCCGCCCUAGUUUCCUCGGCCUCGUCGUCGCGCCUCCGAAGACCGGCCUCGUCGUCACCGGAGACCCCAGGCUAGCCGCCGCCGCGCUAAGUUCCCUGCUCCACGCCGGACUCGGCUUCCUCGUCGUCUCCAGCAACGGCCAGAGCGCCAAGUCCCUCCGCCUCGCCCCGCUUGCCCGCGCCAGUUGUCGCCGGCGGCCAUCUCCAGCCCCUCCUCUACUUCGUUCUACGGGGAGGACGAGGUGCCCAUGCCUCGCGUGGUCAGCGCCGCCACUCUGAACCUCGCGCUCCCCGCUCGUUCUGCGUUGACCGCAGCCACACCGUACGUGGGCCUCCUCUUGCAGCGCCUCAAGGCCCAGCCUGCUUCCCCUCAAGAUCCGGCCUGCCAAGCCUCUUCCCCGACUGGGCUUGGCCCAUGUGAGCAACAACCCUUCUCUCUAUCGGGCCAACCAGAUUCGGCCUGUUUAGGUUUUUUCCCAGAUCUGUGAAUUUAGUUAUUUUUUCCAGAGUUGACAGAUUUGCAGAAAAAACCCUAAA
Molecule: long non-coding RNA, 1115 nt
Organism: Triticum urartu
Lineage: Eukaryota; Viridiplantae; Streptophyta; Magnoliopsida; Poales; Poaceae
Source: RefSeq, a predicted model, not a curated record